RNAcentral lists this transfer RNA (71 nucleotides) under Stegodyphus dumicola. Its description in RNAcentral is "tRNA-Gly". It matches the Rfam family "tRNA". Rfam says of the family: Transfer RNA (tRNA) molecules are approximately 80 nucleotides in length. Lineage: Eukaryota; Metazoa; Arthropoda; Arachnida; Araneae; Eresidae. The record is from RNAcentral.
GCAUCGGUGAUUCAGUGGUAGAAUUCUCGCCUGCCACGCGGGCGGCCCGGGUUCGUUUCUCAGCCGAUGCA